AUGAACGCUGGCGGCGUGCCUAAUACAUGCCGGUCGAGCGAACGGACGAGAAGUUUGCUUCUCUGAUGUUAGCGGCGGACGGGUGAGUAACACGUGGAUAACCUACCUAUAAGACUGGGAUAACUUCGGGAAACCGGAGCUAAUACCGGAUAAUAUUUUGAACCGCAUGGUUCAAAAGUGAAAGACGGUCUUGCUGUCACUUAUAGAUGGAUCCGCGCUGCAUUAGCUAGUUGGUAAGGUAACGGCUUACCAAGGCAACGAUGCAUAGCCGACCUGAGAGGGUGAUCGGCCACACUGGAACUGAGACACGGUCCAGACUCCUACGGGAGGCAGCAGUAGGGAAUCUUCCGCAAUGGGCGAAAGCCUGACGGAGCAACGCCGCGUGAGUGAUGAAGGUCUUCGGAUCGUAAAACUCUGUUAUUAGGGAAGAACAUAUGUGUAAGUAACUGUGCACAUCUUGACGGUACCUAAUCAGAAAGCCACGGCUAACUACGUG
RNAcentral lists this ribosomal RNA (496 nucleotides) under uncultured bacterium. Its description in RNAcentral is "partial 16S ribosomal RNA". It matches the Rfam family "Bacterial small subunit ribosomal RNA", at positions 29 to 507 of the family's 1533-position model. The record is from RNAcentral.